CCGCACCAUCAUGCCAUCCACCGCCGCGGGCAGAGGGCACUGGGCUGCGGCGGCCGGAGCCCCGGCGGCGCGGAGCGGGCCCGGGGGCCACAGAAUGCAAGAGGCUCUUCGGGUCGCGGUGAGGGGCUGCAGCUUUCGGCCUCUUGGAGGGCUUGCAGGAACCAUGAACCGGGGCAGAGCAAACUCACAGACUGCGCUCCUCGUCGCCGGAGUGCCAGGAAAGUCCCUUCCGCUGGGCUGCUGCUGCCGCCGCCGCCGCCUUCCUGGGCAUGGCCCGGUCCGACUGCCGGGGCAGGGGGGGGUCGGGAGAGGGAAGCUGGGAGAAACUGAAAGGAAGGGCGGGGGCCGAAAGGCAGAGGGGAAAACACCCGCUUCCUCUCCCCGCGCGGCUUCACCUCGGGGCACGGCCGUGGGUGCACCGCCGCCCGCUCGCCCGCCGGGGCCGCUGGAAGCUUUUCCUCUUCCCGUCCGCGCCUCGCCCCCGGGCUCGCCACCGCCGCCUCGGCCGUAACCUCCCUGGAGCCUAUAGAAAUCUUUUGUGUGGCGUCACCGCCUUUCGUUUAAAUCCCGCUUCCUCCUCUCGCCCUUCCUCCCGCCCCCUCCGCCGCUCCCGGAUGCUUGCGCGAUGCGCUGCUCCUCCCCCGGGAAGCUGGGUGGCUGCGGGAGGACGCCCCCGCCCAGCGCUGACUCCGCGGGCGCCGGGCCGGUGGUCCCCGGCUGAGAUGCGGGGGAGCGGGCAGGAGGGAGGCCCGUCCGGGCCGGGGGCUCAGCGCCCACCCUUGGGAGACCCGGGCGCAGCCGCCGGUUGGGCUUACGUAAGCUCUAAGCCCGACCCGGGGGCUCCGCGCUUCCUCCCCGCCCAGGGAGCAAGUCUCAAAGGUGGCCUGUUUUCUGGACCGAAGGGAGGACGCUUGGCACCAUCGCCGAGUGGUGUGCUGGGGUCCAGUCAUCGCGUUUUGUGGGCUGUCGAUCGGUCGGCCAGGCUCUCCUCCGCCCUUUGUUGUGUUUGCUCCUCUUCCAGGGUGCGAUCCUGGAGGGACUGUGCGGGUGAGCAAAGAGCCCUGGAGAUGGGAGUCUGGGAAGAGCAGAGCUGGCCGCUGGCGGCUUCCUCCCUUCAGCUCAAUAGCCUUUAUAUAGUUAGAGCGUGAGCUUUGAACCAGAUUUUUUUUUUCCUGGGGUCAGUCUUCCCCAGCCAUGUAUGAGUUGUGUGACCUUAUACAAGUUCUCUCUCCAAGUCUCCGUUUUCUCCUUUGGAAAUUAGAUACUGUGCACUGACUGCCUGAGUACUUGGCUCAUAAUGUAGCUCUGAGAAUUAUGAGCCUGUACUGGCACAGUCUGCCCUCCCAUAACUUAUGUGUCGUCAGCUGCAUAAUGAAAGAAUACUGACCAACAGUUAAAUAAGAGAAGCAGCCUUCGGAGGUAAACACCCCCAUUUUACAGACUAGGAAAGUGUUGGUCAGAUGCCUCACGUGCCUUCCCAAGGUCAGGAAGAUAGCAAAUGCGAUGGCAAGAAGCCAACCGCAGACUUCUUUCUCANNNNNNNNNNNNNNNNNNNNNNNNNNNNNNNNNNNNNNNNNNNNNNNNNNNNNNNNNNNNNNNNNNNNNNNNNNNNNNNNNNNNNNNNNNNNNNNNNNNCAACCGCAGACUUCUUUCUCAUUUGACCCAGCCCUUGCUCUUCAGGAAGUGCUAGAAGCAUCCAGGCUUUCCUCAUCCCCCAAACCUGCCAGGAUUCCAGGGGUCCCCCGACUUCUUAGCCCUGAAACAGGCCAUCUAGGUGCCCAGCACAGCACAAGCUGGGUGUUUUCAGCCAAUGGAAAUGUUUGUUCUUCUGCCCCUUUCUAGAACCUAGUGUCACCUUUUUCCAGCCAGUUGUCACUUGUAACUGGGAUGGAUGACCUUGCAAUUUAUUGUCCAAACAGAAGCAGUUUUGAGACUAACUGUGAGAUGUGUUACUAAUAAAUUAACCAGUAACAACAGCAGAGAAGGCGAUGGCACCCCACUCUAGUACUCUUGCCUGGAAAAUC
This 2024-nucleotide long non-coding RNA is filed under the name Capra hircus (goat). Its description in RNAcentral is "lncRNA (ENSCHIG00010023917.1)". The record is from RNAcentral. Lineage: Eukaryota; Metazoa; Chordata; Mammalia; Artiodactyla; Bovidae.